RNAcentral lists this long non-coding RNA (329 nucleotides) under Gossypium barbadense (sea-island cotton). RNAcentral's name for it is "long non-coding RNA (GBAR_LNC012314)". The record is from RNAcentral. Lineage: Eukaryota; Viridiplantae; Streptophyta; Magnoliopsida; Malvales; Malvaceae.
GGUGAACGGUUGGAGCAUCAUCACACUAUCCACAAGCUUGUUUUGGUAUAAAUAGUAACCUCAUUUUGGUAUAAUGGCAUGUUUAGGUAACUUAGCCAAAUGAUGAUAUAUAAAUAUUGUUUGUAAUCUAGCUAUUUGAAAUGGCAAGUAAUGAUUAAAUUUUGGGAUAUCUGUUAAGGUAGCCUUAUGGUAUUAUCAUGAGUUAUGUUAUGGUUUGAUUGAGCAAUGCUAAAUGAAUAUAACUAUUAAAGGUAAAAUCAUAAUAAUAUAUGCAAUGAUAUAUCAUAUUAGAUGUUAGAAUUUGCUUGAAAACAAUGCUUGAAUCGGUU